AUGUUUCUGAUUCCUGUGAUACUACUUUUACAACUAGGAUUCCAAGAUGCUAUGAGUGCUGGAAUCCAGCGUGAGAUUCAGAAUGCAAGACUCCAACAGCCGUUUACUUUAAACUGUACCUACAACUGUUCCAGUGGCUUCACUCGUGGUACAUGGACAUGGGAAGCCACUCCAGCUUGUAGCAAGUGCCACUGGGAUCAAAAAAAUUCUAAGUUAGGAGACGUGUGCACUGUGAGCUUGCACAUACCUCAUCUAAUUAUGGAGCAAACACGUUAUAACUAUUCAUGCUUUUCUGAAGAGAGUGACCGCCCGGGCCUUCCUCGUAAAUUGGAGCUUCUGGUAACACUGCAAGUUCAUGCUGAAUCUGAAGGACAAGUAACACCUCCAGAAGCCGAUCCAUCUCUGAGAGUAAAGUUAUAUAGGGGUCAGACAGAUUCAGAUGAGGUGUUUACAUCAUUUUCCACCAUUGAAGUGAUGGCAGGAACCUCAGCCAAACUUCACUGUUUCGCCCCUGACAACAAUCACUGUGAGGUGCAGUGGGUCAGAGAAAACAGUACCCUCCCCUUGACCAAAAUAAGUGACACCAUAGUACAGUGGAGUGAAAUCAAAGCAGAGGAUAGUGGACGAUACAGGUGCCACACCAAAGGGACCUGCACUGACCAGGCUAUCACUGUGGAAAUAGAGGUCAUCACAUCGGGUGAGUGUUUUCACACUUCAAAAAUACAUCAACCCAUUUUCAGAUUCACAUACAACAAAGUCAAUCAAGUCAGCAUUUUGCCAUACAGAUGGAUUCGCCUGGGCCAAGGUCUUUGCAGCUUUUGCGGUGUCUGCAGUAGUUAUCCUGACAGCCCAUCUGGUGUAUUUGUGCUACAGAAAAGGAUGUAAGAUCAUGGAUUCUGCAAACAUAGCCCAUGAAAGGGUUACAUCCAGAAGUGCUGUGGCGAUAAAGCCAAUCGCUCAAGGUCUUUCUCAAUUUAUUAUAAAUAUAAAAAUACAAUAAUAUAUGUAUAUAUACUACCUGUCAAAAGUUUGGAAUAAUUAAAAUUUUUACUGUUUCUGAAAGUCUCUUAUGCUCACCAAGGUUGCAUGUUUUUGAUCAAAGCUACAGUAAAAACAAUAAUAUUGUGAAAUAUUAUUACAAUUUUAAAAUGCUGUUUUCUGUAUUAAACUGCACAACUGUUUUCAACAUUGAUAAUAAUAAGAAAUGUUUAUUGAGCUUGAGCAUCAUAUUAGAAUGAUUUCUGAAGGAUCAUGUGACACUGAAGACUGAAGUAAUGAUGCUGAAAAUUCAGCUUUGACAUCACAGGAAUAAAUUACAAUAUAAUUAUUAAAAUUAAAUUAAA
Molecule: long non-coding RNA, 1343 nt
Organism: Cyprinus carpio (common carp)
Lineage: Eukaryota; Metazoa; Chordata; Actinopteri; Cypriniformes; Cyprinidae
Source: Ensembl